This 465-nucleotide ribosomal RNA is filed under the name uncultured bacterium. RNAcentral describes it as "partial 16S ribosomal RNA". It matches the Rfam family "Bacterial small subunit ribosomal RNA", at positions 338 to 795 of the family's 1533-position model. The record is from RNAcentral.
CCUACGGGAGGCAGCAGUGGGGAAUUUUGGACAAUGGGCGCAAGCCUGAUCCAGCUAUUCCGCGUGUGGGAUGACGGCCCUCGGGUUGUAAACCACUUUAGUAGAGAACGAAAAGGAGCUAUCGAAUAAAUAGAUCUGCUGACGGUACCCUAAGAAUAAGCACCGGCUAACUACGUGCCAGCAGCCGCGGUAAUACGUAGGGUGCGAGCGUUAUCCGGAAUUAUUGGGCGUAAAGGGUGUGCAGGCGGCUGAGUAAGUCAGAUGUGAAAUCCCCGGGCUUAACCUGGGAGCCGCAUAUGUGACUGGGUGGCUAGAGUGCGUCAGAGGGAGGUGGAAUUCCACGGGUAGCAGUGAAAUGCGUAGAUAUGUGGAAGAACACCGAUGGCGAAGGCAGCCUCCUGGGACGCAACUGACGCUGAGACACGAAAGCGUGGGGAGCAAACAGGAUUAGAUACCCGGGUAGUC